AUAAAAUGAUAUAAGGUACAUUGACAUGUCAUUGCUUACUACAACAUAACAUACAACACCAAUACAGAAUACAACAGAAUAAAUGAUAUAACAUAACAUGGUUAAACAUACAGUCCAGUAAUUAUGAAUGGUAAAUACUUAUAAUGAUAUAAGCUUAUAAUGACCAAGUAUAGUCUCAAAUGGCUUUCUCACUUUCAUAUUGUAUACUUGGCACACUUCCUCCAUGAGGCCAGUAAUAUAGUUGGGAGGUUAGCAUUGAUAAUAGUUCUGCCAUGUUUCUUUCUCUCUAUCUCUGUCGUCUCCAUUAAUGUCAACGCACUAUUAGUCUUGUACUGCUCUCACUAUUUUAGCCUCAUUCCAUUUAACAUCUACAUCAUUCUCAUAUACUUUGGUAGCAAGGGCAGUAAUUUGUUUGUCUUGAUAUC
This 425-nucleotide long non-coding RNA is filed under the name Androctonus crassicauda. Lineage: Eukaryota; Metazoa; Arthropoda; Arachnida; Scorpiones; Buthidae. The record is from RNAcentral.